UACGAAGGGGGCUAGCGUUGCUCGGAAUCACUGGGCGUAAAGCGCACGUAGGCGGCUUUUUAAGUCAGGGGUGAAAUCCUGGAGCUCAACUCCAGAACUGCCUUUGAUACUGAGAAGCUUGAGUCCGGGAGAGGUGAGUGGAACUGCGAGUGUAGAGGUGAAAUUCGUAGAUAUUCGGAGGAACACCAGUGGCGAAGGCGGCUCACUGGUCCAUUACUGACGCUGAGGUGCGAAAGCGUGGGGAGCAAACAGG
Molecule: ribosomal RNA, 253 nt
Filed under: uncultured bacterium
Lineage: Bacteria
Description: partial 16S ribosomal RNA
Rfam family: Bacterial small subunit ribosomal RNA
Source: RNAcentral